RNAcentral lists this long non-coding RNA (570 nucleotides) under Pan troglodytes (chimpanzee). RNAcentral describes it as "lincRNA". Lineage: Eukaryota; Metazoa; Chordata; Mammalia; Primates; Hominidae. The record is from RNAcentral.
GAAAGAGGUGGCAUCGGCAGCUCAAGACUGAUUUUUCUAUCUCUUCAGUGCCUCUUUCAACAAUAUGAAGUUCAAACCAGGUUUUGUGCAAAUAUCUGCUGAGUGAACUACUUAUUUGAAAAGACAUCAUUGGUUAAUAUUCCCUUUUGCUCAUUGAAAUCUCAAAGACUACAGACCCCGCACAAGACAUUCUGACAUUCCCGUCUUUGAAAUGAAUGACAGCAAUGAUAAAUAUGGCUCACCUCCAGAGAUACAGAUCUCACAACUUCAUAUUUUUAAUAUAAAUUAUUAAUCUGAGGUGUGGUGCAAUUCCAUUAGAUGAAAGAGAUCUACACAUUCAGAAGCACAUGAUUCUUCCCCCUUCCAUGAUUCCAGUGGCCAAUAGGUAAUCAGAACUUCUCUGUUCAGCUAAAAGACAGAAAAAGAGCAUAUGAAAGACGUAUUUUCCCAGAAGUGCUCAUCCUGAUAACUGUGUACAGCACUACUGCUCAUAUUCCAUUGGCCAAUAUUUAGGUAGAUAACUUCACUAACUACAAGGUAUGCUGGGAAAUAAAGUCCAGAUAUGUGUGA